RNAcentral lists this ribosomal RNA (300 nucleotides) under Glomus sp. Its description in RNAcentral is "SSU rRNA". It matches the Rfam family "Eukaryotic small subunit ribosomal RNA", at positions 591 to 895 of the family's 1831-position model. The record is from RNAcentral. Lineage: Eukaryota; Fungi; Glomeromycota; Glomeromycetes; Glomerales; Glomeraceae.
CCAAUAGCGUAUAUUAAAGUUGUUGCAGUUAAAAAGCUCGUAGUUGAAUUUCGGGAUCAAUGCGUCGGUCGUGCCUUCGGUACGUACUAGCGUCAUUGAUUCCUCCCUUCUGAAGAACCGUGAUGUCAUUAAUUUGGUGUUACGGGGAAUCAGGACUGUUACCUUGAAAAAAUUAGAGUGUUUAAAGCAGGCUAACGCUUGAAUACAUUAGCAUGGAAUAAUGAAAUAGGACGUUCGAACCUAUUUUGUUGGUUUCUAGGAUCGACGUAAUGAUUAAUAGGGAUAGUUGGGGGCAUUAGU